This 250-nucleotide unclassified non-coding RNA is filed under the name plant metagenome. Its description in RNAcentral is "partial contains small subunit ribosomal RNA, internal transcribed spacer 1, and 5.8S ribosomal RNA". The record is from RNAcentral.
GUAGGUGAACCUGCGGAAGGAUCAUUAAUGAAAUACGUCCCAUAAAUUUUACCAUUUCCCGCCUUCCUUAUCUUUUUUCUCUUUUUCUUGCCAGUUGGUGUGAAGGGGGGUCAGUCUUGGCCUUUUUUCUUCCGGUGAGCGGAAGGAGAGAAGGGGAUUUUGGAGUGGGGGGGGAGAUUUUCAACUCUGCCUGUUUUUUGUUUCUUCUUCUUCCAUAACAUUUAGGAUAAACGGCGUGAAAAGGAUUGUG